This 236-nucleotide ribosomal RNA is filed under the name uncultured soil bacterium. Its description in RNAcentral is "partial 16S ribosomal RNA". It matches the Rfam family "Bacterial small subunit ribosomal RNA", at positions 26 to 265 of the family's 1533-position model. The record is from RNAcentral.
AGAUUGAACGCUGGCGGCAUGCCUUACACAUGCAAGUCGAACGGUAACAGGUCUUCGGAUGCUGACGAGUGGCGAACGGGUGAGUAACACAUCGGAACGUGCCCGAUCGUGGGGGAUAACGCAGCGAAAGCUGUGCUAAUACCGCAUUACGAUCUACGGAUGAAAGCGGGGGAUCUUCGGACCUCGCGCGGACGGAGCGGCCGAUGGCAGAUUAGGUAGUUGGUGGAUAAAAGCUU